AUCCAACUGAAGAGUCUCAGGUGAGACGAAACGCGAGUCAUGGAU
This 45-nucleotide non-coding RNA is filed under the name Schistosoma haematobium. The record is from RNAcentral. Lineage: Eukaryota; Metazoa; Platyhelminthes; Trematoda; Strigeidida; Schistosomatidae.